CGGGGUGUAGCUCAAUUUGGUAGACCGCGUGGUUUGGGACCACGAUGCUGGGGGUUCAAAUCCCUCCACCCCGACCA
RNAcentral lists this transfer RNA (77 nucleotides) under Clostridia bacterium. RNAcentral's name for it is "tRNA-Pro". It matches the Rfam family "tRNA". From Rfam's summary of the family: Transfer RNA (tRNA) molecules are approximately 80 nucleotides in length. Their secondary structure includes four short double-helical elements and three loops (D, anti-codon, and T loops). Further hydrogen bonds mediate the characteristic L-shaped molecular structure. tRNAs have two regions of fundamental functional importance: the anti-codon, which is responsible for specific mRNA codon recognition, and the 3' end, to which the tRNAs corresponding amino acid is attached (by aminoacyl-tRNA synthetases). tRNAs cope with the degeneracy of the genetic code in two manners: having more than one tRNA (with a specific anti-codon) for a particular amino acid; and 'wobble' base-pairing, i.e. permitting non-standard base-pairing at the 3rd anti-codon position. The record is from RNAcentral. Lineage: Bacteria; Bacillati; Bacillota; Clostridia.